UACAGAGGUCUCAAGCGUUGUUCGGAUUUACUGGGCGUAAAGGGUGCGUAGGAGGCCGCGCAAGUCAGGCGUGAAAGCCCGGGGCUCAACCCCGGAAUGGCGCUUGAACCUGCGCGGCUGGAGGGCCGGAGAGGCUGCCGGAAUUCCCGGUGUAGCAGUGAAAUGCGUAGAGAUCGGGAGGAACACCAAAGGCGAAGGCAGGCAGCUGGAAGGCACCUGACUCUGAGGCACGAAAGCCAGGGGAGCAAACGGG
This 253-nucleotide ribosomal RNA is filed under the name uncultured bacterium. Its description in RNAcentral is "partial 16S ribosomal RNA". It matches the Rfam family "Bacterial small subunit ribosomal RNA", at positions 524 to 776 of the family's 1533-position model. The record is from RNAcentral.